ACUCCUCAAGUAAAGAGCAUAAUACUUCAACCUGAAUACGAAUAUGUUGUUAUCCAAGAGUUCUGUAAACCAGCACUAUCUCUUGGCCCUCUCCUCAGUUCAAGUUUCUGAUAGCCUGGCCUGGGCAGAAGUCCAGCUCUGUGGGAACUCCCACUCCUCAGGUUUAAUCAUGGACUCUGAUUCUUACCCCACCGAAUUGCACCAGUUCAGUAUUAGGAAAGUAUGUGGACAGCAGUGAAAGCAGUCUCUAAAUAAAGAAAGAAACCCAUCGCUUAACAGAAGUGACACAGCUCUCCCCCAAGCCAGGAACUGUGGCCACUUUUCAGGAAUAAUGUUGGCUACUGAGAGAAGAGGAAGAACCCAUUCCUUGGCAGGGCACUUCCAGCCUACAGUACCCAUGUGCAGCACUAUGACCACCACCUUCAGGCCAUGUUAGAUGGAGUAUGAGGAGAAUCCACCAGGUAAUUGCCAUGUGCUCUUCCCAUGCAUCAGGAAUGUGGCACAGUGUUCUGCUUAGGCUCUGUGAUUCCAACACCAGUGACCAUGAGGGCUGCUUCUUGCAAUGGUUCAAGACCCUGUGUGCAUAGCUGAACCCUGGAUGCCGGGUUUCCAUCCCAGCGGCAGCUAGCACUCUGCCGUCGUACUGCCGACAGUACAGUCUAGCAGAGACA
Long non-coding RNA from Nannospalax galili (Upper Galilee mountains blind mole rat), 671 nucleotides. RefSeq lists it as uncharacterized. The record is from RefSeq and is a predicted model, not a curated record. NCBI's taxonomy places the organism in Eukaryota, Metazoa, Chordata, Mammalia, Rodentia, Spalacidae. The transcript has 4 exons.